Molecule: ribosomal RNA, 1320 nt
Filed under: metagenome
Description: bacterial LSU rRNA
Rfam family: Bacterial large subunit ribosomal RNA
Source: RNAcentral
GGUUCACGCUGCCAAGAAAAGCUUCUAGCCAGGCGAAGGUGCCCGUACCGCAAACCGACACAGGUGGGUGAGAAGAGAAUUCUAAGGCGCGCGGAAGAACUCUCGUUAAGGAACUCGGCAAAAUGACCCCGUAACUUCGGGAGAAGGGGUGCCUCGGUAGGGUGAAUAGCCCGAGGGGGCCGCAGUGAAAAGGCCCAAGCGACUGUUUAGCAAAAACACAGGUCUGUGCGAAGCCGCAAGGCGAAGUAUACGGGCCGACGCCUGCCCGGUGCUGGAAGGUUAAGAGGAGUGGUUAGGGGCAACCCGAAGCUAUGAAUUGAAGCCCCAGUAAACGGCGGCCGUAACAAUAACGGUCCUAAGGUAGCGAAAUUCCUUGUCAGGUAAAUUCUGACCCGCACGAAUGGCGUAACGACUUGGGCGCUGUCUCAACGAGAGAUCCGGUGAAAUUUUAAUACCUGUGAAGAUGCAGGUUACCCGCGACAAGACGGAAAGACCCCAUGGAGCUUUACUGCAGCUUGAUAUUGGACUUUGGUACGAUCUGUACAGGAUAGGUGGGAGCCUUUGAAGCCUGAGCGCCAGCUUGGGUGGAGGCAUCGUUGGGAUACCACCCUGAUCGUAUCGGAGUUCUAACCUAGUACCGUGAUCCGGUAUGGGGACAGUGUCAGGUGGGCAGUUUGACUGGGGCGGUCGCCUCCUAAAAUGUAACGGAGGCGUUUAAAGGUUCCCUCAGAAUGGUUGGAAAUCAUUCGCAGAGUGCAAAGGCAUAAGGGAGCUUGACUGCGAGACCUACAAGUCGAGCAGGGACGAAAGUCGGACUUAGUGAUCCGGUGGUACCGAAUGGAAGGGCCAUCGCUCAACGGAUAAAAGCUACCCUGGGGAUAACAGGCUUAUCUCCCCCAAGAGUCCACAUCGACGGGGAGGUUUGGCACCUCGAUGUCGGCUCAUCGCAUCCUGGGGCUGAAGUAGGUCCCAAGGGUUGGGCUGUUCGCCCAUUAAAGCGGUACGCGAGCUGGGUUCAGAACGUCGUGAGACAGUUCGGUCCCUAUCUGUCGCGGGCGUAGGAAAUUUGAGAGGAGCUGUCCUUAGUACGAGAGGACCGGGAUGGACGUACCGCUGGUGUACCAGUUGUCUCGCCAGAGGCAUCGCUGGGUAGCUAUGUACGGAGGGGAUAAGCGCUGAAAGCAUCUAAGCGCGAAGCCCCCCUCAAGAUGAGAUUUCCCAGUAUGUAAGACCCCUUGUAGACGACGAGGUUGAUAGGUUCGAGGUGGAAGUGCGGCAACGUAUGCAGCUGACGAAUACUAAUCGGUCGAGGGCUUAACC